CAGUAGCCGCGGUAAAACGUAGGUGGCAAGCGUUGUCCGGAAUUAUUGGGCGUAAAGGGCUCGCAGGCGGUUUCUUAAGUCUGAUGUGAAAGCCCCCGGCUCAACCGGGGAGGGUCAUUGGAAACUGGGAAACUUGAGUGCAGAAGAGGAGAGUGGAAUUCCACGUGUAGCGGCGAAAUGCGUAGAGAUGUGGAGGAACACCAGUGGCGAAGGCGACUCUCUGGUCUGUAACUGACGCUGAGGAGCGAAAGCGUGGGGAGCGAACAGGAUUAGAUACCCCCGUAGUCCCUGUCUCUUAUAC
Molecule: ribosomal RNA, 301 nt
Filed under: uncultured bacterium
Lineage: Bacteria
Description: partial 16S ribosomal RNA
Rfam family: Bacterial small subunit ribosomal RNA
Source: RNAcentral